AAAUCAGUUAUCGUUUAUUUGAUAGUACCUUACUACUUGGAUACCUGUGGUAAUUCUAGAGCUAAUACAUGCUAAAAACCCCGACUUCGGAAGGGGUGUAUUUAUUAGAUAAAAAACCAAUGCCCUUCGGGGCUCCUUGGUGAUUCAUAAUAACUUCUCAGAUCGCAUGGCCUUGCGCCGGCGACGGUUCAUUCAAAUUUCUGCCCUAUCAACUUUCGAUGGUAAGGUAUUGGCUUACCAUGGUGGCAACGGGUAACGGGGAAUUAGGGUUCGAUUCCGGAGAGUUAGCCUGAGAAACGGCUAACACAUCCAAGGAAGGCAGCAGGCGCGCAAAUUACCCAAUCCCGAUACGGGGAGGUAGUGACAAUAAAUACUGAUACAGGGCUCUUUUGGGUCUUGUAAUUGGAAUGAGUACAAUUUAAACCUCUUAACGAGGAACAAUUGGAGGGCAAGUCUGGUGCCAGCAGCCGCGGUAAUUCCAGCUCCAAUAGCGUAUAUUAAAGUUGUUGCAGUUAAAAAGCUCGUAGUUGAACCUUUGGCCUGGCUGGCAGGUCCGCCUCACCGCGUGCACUUGUCCGGCCGGGCCUUUUCUUCUGGAGAACCGCAUGCCCUUCACUGGGUGUGUUGGGGACCAGGACUUUUACUUUGAAAAAAUUAGAGUGUUCAAAGCAGGCCUUUGCUCGAAUAUUACAGCAUGGAAUAAUAGAAUAGGACGUGCGGUUCUAUUUUGUUGGUUUCUAGGACCGCCGUAAUGAUUAAUAGGGACAGUCGGGGGCAUCAGUAUUCAAUUGUCAGAGGUGAAAUUCUUGGAUUUAUUGAAGACUAACUACUGCGAAAGCAUUUGCCAAGGAUGUUUUCAUUAAUCAGUGAACGAAAGUUAGGGGAUCGAAGACGAUCAGAUACCGUCGUAGUCUUAACCAUAAACUAUGCCGACUAGGGAUCGGGCGGUGUUAUUAUUUUGACUCGCUCGGCACCUUACGAGAAAUCA
This 988-nucleotide ribosomal RNA is filed under the name Stagonospora tauntonensis. RNAcentral's name for it is "SSU rRNA". It matches the Rfam family "Eukaryotic small subunit ribosomal RNA", at positions 103 to 1100 of the family's 1831-position model. The record is from RNAcentral. Lineage: Eukaryota; Fungi; Ascomycota; Dothideomycetes; Pleosporales; Massarinaceae.